RNAcentral lists this unclassified non-coding RNA (265 nucleotides) under Tremellales sp. RNAcentral describes it as "partial contains 5.8S ribosomal RNA, internal transcribed spacer 2, and large subunit ribosomal RNA". The record is from RNAcentral. Lineage: Eukaryota; Fungi; Basidiomycota; Tremellomycetes; Tremellales.
CGCACCUUGCGCCCUCUGGUAUUCCGGAGGGCAUGCCUGUUUGAGUGUCAUGAAGACUUCAACCCCUCGGGUUUUUCUCGGGGACGUUGGACUUGGGCGUCUGCCACGUCGUUGGCUCGCCUCAAAUGUGUCAGUGGUAAUCGGGCCCUUGACGGGAGUAAUAAGUUUCUCUUGUCUGUCGGUCGUCGAUGGCUGCUACCAACCCUGCCCCCGUGGCAAUUCUGACCCUGACCUCAAAUCAGGUAGGACUACCCGCUGAACUUAA